UGGGGAAUAUUGCACAAUGGGCGCAAGCCUGAUGCAGCCAUGCCGCGUGUAUGAAGAAGGCCUUCGGGUUGUAAAGUACUUUCAGCGGGGAGGAAGGUGUUGAGGUUAAUAACCUCAGCAAUUGACGUUACCCGCAGAAGAAGCACCGGCUAACUCCGUGCCAGCAGCCGCGGUAAUACGGAGGGUGCAAGCGUUAAUCGGAAUUACUGGGCGUAAAGCGCACGCAGGCGGUCUGUCAAGUCGGAUGUGAAAUCCCCGGGCUCAACCUGGGAACUGCAUUCGAAACUGGCAGGCUAGAGUCUUGUAGAGGGGGGUAGAAUUCCAGGUGUAGCGGUGAAAUGCGUAGAGAUCUGGAGGAAUACCGGUGGCGAAGGCGGCCCCCUGGACAAAGACUGACGCACAGGUGCGAAAGCGUGGGGAGCAAACA
This 427-nucleotide ribosomal RNA is filed under the name uncultured bacterium. RNAcentral's name for it is "partial 16S ribosomal RNA". It matches the Rfam family "Bacterial small subunit ribosomal RNA", at positions 355 to 774 of the family's 1533-position model. The record is from RNAcentral.